CAGUAGCCACGGUAAUACGAAGGGUGCAAGCGUUACUCGGAAUUACUGGGCGUAAAGCGUGCGUAGGUGGUUCGUUAAGUCUGAUGUGAAAGCCCUGGGCUCAACCUGGGAAUUGCAUUGGAUACUGGCGAGCUAGAGUGCGGUAGAGGGUAGUGGAAUUCCCGGUGUAGUAGUGAAAUGCGUAGAGAUCGGGAGGAACAUCUGUGGCGAAGGCGACUGCCUGGACCAGCACUGACACUGAGGCACGAAAGCGUGGGGAGCAAACAGGAUUAGAUACCCCGGUAGUCCCUGUCUCUUAUAC
This 301-nucleotide ribosomal RNA is filed under the name uncultured bacterium. Its description in RNAcentral is "partial 16S ribosomal RNA". It matches the Rfam family "Bacterial small subunit ribosomal RNA", at positions 509 to 807 of the family's 1533-position model. The record is from RNAcentral.